This 253-nucleotide ribosomal RNA is filed under the name uncultured bacterium. RNAcentral's name for it is "partial 16S ribosomal RNA". It matches the Rfam family "Bacterial small subunit ribosomal RNA", at positions 524 to 776 of the family's 1533-position model. The record is from RNAcentral.
UACGAAGGGGGCUAGCGUUGCUCGGAAUGACUGGGCGUAAAGGGCGCGUAGGCGGUUCGUACAGUCAGACGUGAAAUUCCCGGGCUCAACCUGGGGGCUGCGUUUGAUACGUGCGGGCUUGAGUUCGGAAGAGGGUCGUGGAAUUCCCAGUGUAGAGGUGAAAUGCGUAGAUAUCGGGAGGAACACCAGUGGCGAAGGCGACUACCUGGCCUGUUCUUGACGCUGAGGCGCGAAAGCUAGGGGAGCAAACGGG